RNAcentral lists this ribosomal RNA (253 nucleotides) under uncultured bacterium. RNAcentral describes it as "partial 16S ribosomal RNA". It matches the Rfam family "Bacterial small subunit ribosomal RNA", at positions 524 to 776 of the family's 1533-position model. The record is from RNAcentral.
UACAGAGGGUGCAAACGUUGUUCGGAAUUACUGGGCGUAAAGCGCGUGCAGGCGGCCUUGCAAGUCGGACGUGAAAUCCCACGGCUCAACCGUGGAAGUGCAUUCGAAACUGCGAGGCUGGAGUCCUGGAGAGGAAAGUGGAAUACUCGGUGUAGAGGUGAAAUUCGUAGAUAUCGAGUGGAACACCGGUGGCGAAAGCGGCUCUCUGGGACGGUACUGACGCUGAGACGCGAAAGCGUGGGGAGCAAACAGG